Molecule: ribosomal RNA, 497 nt
Filed under: uncultured bacterium
Lineage: Bacteria
Description: partial 16S ribosomal RNA
Rfam family: Bacterial small subunit ribosomal RNA
Source: RNAcentral
GAUGAACGCUGGCGGCGUGCCUAAUACAUGCAAGUCGAGCGAACGGACGAGAAGCUUGCUUCUCUGAUGUUAGCGGCGGACGGGUGAGUAACACGUGGAUAACCAACCUAUAAGACUGGGAUAACUUCGGGAAACCGGAGCUAAUACCGGAUAAUAUUUUGAACCGCAUGGUUCAAAAGUGAAAGACGGUCUUGCUGUCACUUAUAGAUGGAUCCGCGCUGCAUUAGCUAGUUGGUAAGGUAACGGCUUACCAAGGCAACGAUGCAUAGCCGACCUGAGAGGGUGAUCGGCCACACUGGAACUGAGACACGGUCCAGACUCCUACGGGAGGCAGCAGUAGGGAAUCUUCCGCAAUGGGCGAAAGCCUGACGGAGCAACGCCGCGUGAGUGAUGAAGGUCCUCGGAUCGUAAAACUCUGUUAUUAGGGAAGAACAUAUGUGUAAGUAACUGUGCACAUCUUGACGGUACCUAAUCAGAAAGCCACGGCUAACUACGUG